CAUCGCUCUGCUGUCCUGCCCCGCAGGGCCAUCUGGUCGCUGGAUUCCAGGGAGGGCUGAGGCCGGCUGCAGGGAGGCUCCUGUCCGGGGUCUCUGCACUCAGUCAGAUGCUCUCGGUGCCCCAUAGCCCCCCUUUUUUUGAACAAGACAGUCCUUUACGAUGGCAUUAAGCUAUAACAAGGGUUUUUUUGUACUUGGGGGAAAGCAUAGCUAAUAGAUCUUCAAAUAAGUUUCUGGUUAUAAUGUAAAGCCUGUGUGAUUGCCUUUUUCAGAACAGUCUAUUGUUAGCCAAUUUGACACUUACCUCACUCCCUCAGCUGCCAGCUAUACAGGAAGAGGUAGGAGAUGACAAGACCGCCAUCAAAUGUGAAACCUCGACCCUCGCCUGGCCACGGUCCCUUCGGCUGGGCCGCCUGCGCACGGGGGCGCUGCGCACAGCCACCCAUGAGGACCUCAGGGACGCCCACAACUCCACAGGCUCUCAGGACAGCCCCGGGAAUAACCCCAGCAGCAGCACCAGCAGCCAGGGCUCGCUGCACAAAGCCCCAAAGAAGAAGGGCAUCAAGUCCUCCAUCAGCCGCUUGUUUCGCAAGAAGGAAAAGGGCCGGCCUGAACACCCCAGCAAGGAGGCGUUAGGACCAGGCAGGAUCUUUACCCCUAGCGCCACCUGGAAAGCCCCAGUGAAUGCUGACAACUAGAAAUGCAGAAAAUAAGGGCUGCUCCUAAGUUAAACUGGAAGAGCAGCAAGCACAGGUUGUAAAGAGGAAAACACACGAUGAGCGACAACAGCACCAACAGAAACAAGGGAUGCGUUCACCCACAGAAAGAAAAUACCUGUGCCGUUCGGAAGAGGAGCCCGUCACCCUUGGAGGGACAGCUGGAACCAGAAUGAAAACCGAGGCCAUGGUCAGCAGUGCCCACCACACGGCCUGGGUGGCGUGGUGUCACUCACCAGGCUUCCUGUAUCCCCAGAGCAGCUGGCAGUAACAUCUCUGAGUGCCAGGCCGGGCAGCGUCCCCGAGUGAGCUAAGGCAUCACUGCUCUCCUUCCAGUGCUGCUCCGGGGCCCUCUGUAGGCGGCCACCCUCAUCCCCUGCCCUGCCACUUGCUGGGGCCCGGCUGUCCCCCUGGGAUCCUUUCAGCCCUUGAGCUUGGGUGUUCCCAGCCCUCUGCCACACCGGACUGGGACGCAACUCAGGACUUGGGCUUGAGAUAUCAAGGAGACCGUGAAUCUGGAAGGACACCACCCUGGGGCCUGUGAGAGAGCAGAAGAGCAAAGCCCCGACGGGGAGGAAACAGAGCUGGGGGAACGUGCCCACAGCCUCCACUGCCUCCUGCACAAGUGCCUUUUCUUUGUCUCUCCUUGGCCUGAAACAAACCCCAGCUGCUGCUGCUCCGCAGGUGAUUCCUAAAGAUGCACCUCCUGCCAGAGCUAUUGUCCUGCUGCUCUGGAGCUGCCUGAGUGUGCUCAGGAGUAUCAGACAAGUAGGGCUGCCACACCUCAUACUGGAGGUGGGGGGCCUGAUACUGGGGAAGGGUCGGAG
Molecule: long non-coding RNA, 1543 nt
Filed under: Bos indicus x Bos taurus (hybrid cattle)
Lineage: Eukaryota; Metazoa; Chordata; Mammalia; Artiodactyla; Bovidae
Description: lncRNA (ENSBIXG00005014195.1)
Source: RNAcentral